UCUUUUCCUUUUGUGCCCGCCGCCGCGGUAAUACGUAGGGGGCAAGCGUUAUCCGGAUUUACUGGGUGUAAAGGGAGCGUAGACGGUGUGGCAAGUCUGAUGUGAAAGGCAUGGGCUCAACCUGUGGACUGCAUUGGAAACUGUCAUACUUGAGUGCCGGAGGGGUAAGCGGAAUUCCUAGUGUAGCGGUGAAAUGCGUAGAUAUUAGGAGGAACACCAGUGGCGAAGGCGGCUUACUGGACGGUAACUGACGUUGAGGCUCGAAAGCGUGGGGAGCAAACAGG
Molecule: ribosomal RNA, 284 nt
Filed under: Blautia wexlerae DSM 19850
Lineage: Bacteria; Bacillati; Bacillota; Clostridia; Lachnospirales; Lachnospiraceae
Description: partial 16S ribosomal RNA
Rfam family: Bacterial small subunit ribosomal RNA
Source: RNAcentral